CGCACGGCCGAACAGCUGACGCGCAAGACGCACACUUCCAUAGAAAUAGACAGCACGGCGCCUAACCUAGAAAACAUGCGAUAAAUUUCCUUUUUUCGAAAAUCCUUACUAAUAAUCCGAAAUUAUGAUUCGUGAAAAAGAAACAUCAAAAUUGACCGACGUAUGGCUCUAGAAUUCCUCCCGUUCUUCCGUGACCCGACAACUUGCCUCGCGAUUUAAAAUUAUUGUUUCCGUCGUCGAACAUGGCAUUUCGAGACGAGAUCUUCCUCGCCGGAGACACUUCCGGAUCCCUGCUCGGCGUCGAGCUAACCUACUGGUUCCUGGCAGCCUUCGUUAUCUUGGUCCUCCUCUUUCUCAUUGUUCUGCUCAUCCUCUGCGUUUGGUGUUUCAGAGAUCUCAGAACCGUAUGCGACGAUGAUGAAGAUGCUGGCUGCAGCUGCGAAUAAGAGCACGAAAACGAUGAUGCCAAAGAGUUCUUCCUUCACAUUGCAUUGCCAUAGACUAGAUGGCCCUACCGCGUCUAUGGGACUCGCCCUUAGGUAUCGAUGGAAAGAUCGAUCCUCGUAUUCCCAGAUGGAAGUUGUUUCCUAACAGCGUAUCUCAUAAACCACUUUAUGAAACUCCAUCGUUGUAAUUGUCGUGUUUUUCGUGUCCAUUGUUGUAGAUAUUAAAUUUAUGUAUAAAAAUCAUGAUCCCAGGUAUUUUACAAGGGUUUUGUAAUGUCAAUCAUCGCCCUUCGGGCGCAAAAUGUGUCCCUGUCCAGAAACAACUCGUCUGAGUACUAUUUCCUGUUGUUUCAAACGUUCUGCGUUAUUGGCAUUCACGCGUAAUAUUCACACGCACCUCAGAUUUUAACGUACAAGCUAUUCAUAAUUAGAGUAUUUUAUUUUUCAUUCUCUGCAGGUAUCUUCUUAGUUUUUAAGAUAGUUGAGCAAUGUUUUCAUAAUGAGUUAUCUGAAAAUAUAUGAAAAAAUGAAGUUUUUUUAUCUUUUACCACACUAGACGUGGGUAAUUUGUCUUAAUAUUUUAUUAUAAUUUGAGAUACAUUCAAUGUAAAAUACUGCCGUGCUAAGGAAGAACGCCGUACGAACAUUCGAGAGUUGCCAAAUUUUCUUCGAUAAAAUGUUUAUUUUUGAGGAAAGUCAUGGAUAUUUUUCCUUGAAAUUUUCAGAAACUUUAGAUGAAAUUGCGCAAAAAAUUGUUUAAAAAAUUAGAGGGAAAAUAUUCAUAAGUUCACUGGGAAUUUUGUGUUUUAUCAAAGGAAAUUUGGCAACGCCCAAAGGCUCAUACGGGGUUUUCCCUUAGCACGGCAGAAUA
This 1317-nucleotide long non-coding RNA is filed under the name Bemisia tabaci. RNAcentral describes it as "lncRNA ENSSSA3NGG003547". The record is from RNAcentral. Lineage: Eukaryota; Metazoa; Arthropoda; Insecta; Hemiptera; Aleyrodidae.